AAUAUCCUUUUUUGCAAGAAAGAGGAUAGUGUUUAUUAGAUACAGAACCAAUACACCAUCUGUUUAUCAGGUGGUGUAAAAAAGGUGAUUCAUAGUAACCGAACGGAUCGCAUUAUGGUCAUUUUAUAUGGCUGGCGAUAGAUCAUUCAAGUUUCUGACCUAUCAGCUUUCGACGGUAGUGUAUUGGACUACCGUGGCAGUGACGGGUAACGGGGAAUUAGGGUUCGAUUCCGGAGAGGGAGCCUGAGAAACGGCUACCACAUCUAAGGAAGGCAGCAGGCGCGCAAAUUACCCAAUCCUGACUCAGGGAGGUAGUGACAAGAAAUAACAACACUGGAAAUUUUAUUUCUAGUGAUUGGAAUGAUGGGAAUUUAAACCCCUUUCAGAGUAACAAUUGGAGGGCAAGUCUGGUGCCAGCAGCCGCGGUAAUUCCAGCUCCAAUAGCGUAUAUUAAAGUUGUUGCAGUUAAAAAGCUUGUAGUUGGAUGUCUGCUGGAAGCAAUCAGUCCGCCCUAUUUGUAGGGUGUGCACUUGAUGAAUUCUGGCAUCUAUGUCCCAAUAAUGUGGUGGUGUAUACCCUGUGUAUUACCCAUCUAUAUUGGGAUAAUACCGUUACUUUGAGAAAAUUAGAGUGUUUGAAGCAGGCUAAUUGCCUUGAAUACUGCAGCAUGGAAUAACAAUAUAGGAUUUCGGUUCUAUUUUGUUGGUUUCUAGGACUGAAAUAAUGAUUAAUAGGGACAGUUGGGGGCAUUCGUAUUUAACUGUCAGA
Molecule: ribosomal RNA, 768 nt
Filed under: Sarcocystis cf. cruzi
Lineage: Eukaryota; Apicomplexa; Conoidasida; Eucoccidiorida; Sarcocystidae
Description: SSU rRNA
Rfam family: Eukaryotic small subunit ribosomal RNA
Source: RNAcentral